UGAGUCCUACGGGAGGCAGCAGUGGGGAAUAUUGCACAAUGGGCGAAAGCCUGAUGCGGCAACGCCGCGUGAAGGAAGAAGGUCUUCGGAUCGUAAACUUCUGUCCUUGGGGAAGAUAAUGACGGUACCCUUGGAGGAAGCCCCGGCUAACUACGUGCCAGCAGCCGCGGUAAUACGUAGGGGGCAAGCGUUAUCCGGAUUUACUGGGUGUAAAGGGAGCGUAGACGGUUAUGCAAGUCUGAAGUGAAAGCCCAAGGCUCAACCAUGGGACUGCUUUGGAAACUGUAAAACUGGAGUGCAGGAGG
Molecule: ribosomal RNA, 305 nt
Filed under: uncultured bacterium
Lineage: Bacteria
Description: bacterial SSU rRNA
Rfam family: Bacterial small subunit ribosomal RNA
Source: RNAcentral